AUUGAACGCUGGCGGCAGGCCUAACACAUGCAAGUCGAACGGUAGCACAGAGAGCUUGCUCUCGGGUGACGAGUGGCGGACGGGUGAGUAAUGUCUGGGAAACUGCCCGAUGGAGGGGGAUAACUACUGGAAACGGUAGCUAAUACCGCAUAGCGUCGCAAGACCAAAGUGGGGGACCUUCGGGCCUCACACCAUCGGAUGUGCCCAGAUGGGAUUAGCUAGUAGGUGGGGUAAUGGCUCACCUAGGCGACGAUCCCUAGCUGGUCUGAGAGGAGGACGAGCCACACUGGAAAGGGGACACGGGCAAGACGCCUACGGGAGGAAGCAGUGGGGAAUAUUGCACAAUGGGCGCAAGCCUGAUGCAGCCAUGCCGCGUGUAUGAAGAAGGCCUUCGGGUUGUAAAGUACUUUCAGCGGGGAGGAAGGCGGUGGAGUUAAUAACUUCACCGAUUGACGUUACCCGCAGAAGUAGCACCGGCUAACUCCGUGCCAGCAGCCGCCGUAA
RNAcentral lists this ribosomal RNA (504 nucleotides) under uncultured bacterium. RNAcentral describes it as "partial 16S ribosomal RNA". It matches the Rfam family "Bacterial small subunit ribosomal RNA", at positions 29 to 523 of the family's 1533-position model. The record is from RNAcentral.